This 253-nucleotide ribosomal RNA is filed under the name uncultured bacterium. RNAcentral describes it as "partial 16S ribosomal RNA". It matches the Rfam family "Bacterial small subunit ribosomal RNA", at positions 524 to 776 of the family's 1533-position model. The record is from RNAcentral.
GACGAAGGAUGCAAGCGUUAUCCGGAUUCAUUGGGUUUAAAGGGAGCGUAGGUGGCCUUAUAAGUCAGUGGUGAAAUCUCUGGGCUUAACCCAGAAAUUGCCAUUGAUACUGUAGGGCUUGAGUAUAGUUGCCGUUGGCGGAAUAUGACAUGUAGUGGUGAAAUACAUAGAGAUGUCAUAGAACACCGAUUGCGGAGGCAGCUGACGAAACUAUAACUGACACUGAGGCUCGAAAGUGCGGGGAUCAAACAGG